AGCAGCCGCGGUAAUUCCAGCUCCAAUAGCGUAUAUUAAAGUUGUUGCAGUUAAAAAGCUCGUAGUUGAAUUUCGAGAUCAAAUUGUUGGUCGUGCCUCGGUACGUACUGGCAUUAUUGAUUUCUCCUUUCUGAAGAACCUUGAUGUCAUUAAUUUGGUGUCUUGGGGAAUCAGGACCGUUACUUUGAAAAAAUUAGAGUGUUUAAAGCAGGCUCACGCUUGAAUACAUUAGCAUGGAAUAAUGAAAUAGGACGUUUGAUUCUAUUUUGUUGGUUUCUAGGAUCGACGUAAUGAUUAAUAGGGAUAGUUGGGGGCAUUAGUAUUCAAUUGUCAGAGGUGAAAUUCUUGGAUUUAUUGGAGACUAACUACUGCGAAAGCAUUUGCCAAGGAUGUUUUCAUUAAUCAAGAACGAAAGUUAGGGGAUCGAAGACGAUCAGAUACCGUCGUAGUCUUAACCAUAAACUAUGCCGACUAGGGAUCGGAUGAUGUUAAUUUUUAAUGACUCAUUCGGCGCCUUAAC
This 520-nucleotide ribosomal RNA is filed under the name uncultured Glomus. RNAcentral's name for it is "SSU rRNA". It matches the Rfam family "Eukaryotic small subunit ribosomal RNA", at positions 569 to 1092 of the family's 1831-position model. The record is from RNAcentral. Lineage: Eukaryota; Fungi; Glomeromycota; Glomeromycetes; Glomerales; Glomeraceae.